UACGAAGGGGGCUAGCGUUGCUCGGAUUGACUGGGCGUAAAGGGCGCGUAGGCGGAUAGUACAGUCAGGCGUGAAAUUCCUGGGCUCAACCUGGGGGCUGCGUUUGAUACGUAUUGUCUGGAGUUCGGAAGAGGGUCGUGGAAUUCCCAGUGUAGAGGUGAAAUUCGUAGAUAUUCGGAAGAACACCAGUGGCGAAGGCGGCUCACUGGACAUGUAUUGACGCUGAGGUGCGAAAAGCGUGGGGAGCAAACAGG
This 254-nucleotide ribosomal RNA is filed under the name uncultured bacterium. RNAcentral describes it as "partial 16S ribosomal RNA". It matches the Rfam family "Bacterial small subunit ribosomal RNA", at positions 524 to 776 of the family's 1533-position model. The record is from RNAcentral.